Alligator sinensis (Chinese alligator) is the source of this 6222-nucleotide long non-coding RNA. RefSeq lists it as uncharacterized. The record is from RefSeq and is a predicted model, not a curated record. The transcript has 7 exons. Lineage: Eukaryota; Metazoa; Chordata; Crocodylia; Alligatoridae.
UGCGUUUAGCACAUUAAAAAAAAGUUUAUUUUGUUUACAGGUAAAACAAUUGGGAGAUAUGAAGAGUGCACUUUUGUUUGUUUGAAGACAGACAGGUCAAAUACAAUACUAGACUGUGCUUGGUUUAAAAAGCUGUGUAAACUAGUUUAUGGAUAAGGUAGAGACUGUAAAAAGCCUUUUCAGAAAUUAUGACAAAAAAAAUUCUGAAAUGCUAGUGAAAUUAUUAAAAGGCACUGAUGAUCAUCUCACAAGAUAGCUGUCAUUGUGUAAUAACUAACCUCAUAAUAGGGGCACUACCAGCCAAACAAACUGCCCUUCAGCAGGUGGUGAAAGAAAUAAUGCAUAAAAUGCUAUCCAGUUGCACAGUGGUGCUAAAAGCCUUUUUACACUGUUUCAGGGGAUUAUCUUUUACCAAUAUGUGACAACUAUUUGUGGCUUAUCUUGCAUCCCUAUGAAUGCCACUUGAGGUUAAGAAGCUGUCAAGGUAUUUAAUAAAUCAGAAGUUACAAUCUCUACUUUACUAACCACCAGAGGAAAGAAGAGUGCUAUCUAGAGUUGUUGGGGAAACAGAGGCCUGUUAUCAGGAGAGUGAACUGCAGCUUGCAGGUUCCUUCCAGUGACAGUCAGUUAGGAUGUGAGUGGUGCCUCCUGGUGUGUCACUCAGGAAGCAGGCAAGAGAGCUACAGGAGAAGAUGGCAAGGCUCUGAAGCAUCCCCCACCAUGAGGUCUUCAUCAAUUCAAUGCUAGAGGAGACCUCUAAGACUGCAGAGGAAGGACUGCCAGAGGCAAUACUGGAGAAGAAAGAAGGCAUGGACUCCCAAGCAGGUAGAAGCUGGUAGCUUGUGACCUCUGGCAGCAAGCAGAAGUCUUUAUCUGCACCUGCAGGCUGGAGAACAGAUAGAGCCCUAGCAACAGAGGAGGAGCAUGUUCCAUUGGUGGAGGAGGCCAGGCCAGGCACCCCCAAGAUUGGGAGGAUCAACGCUACUGCCACCAAAAGGAAGCAAUGGGUGGUCAUGGAUGGAGACUCCAUUCUGUAGGCAUUUGUCUGCCAGCCUGACCUGUUGUCUGUUUGUCAGGAGGUCUGUUUCUUGUCUAAAGCCCAGAUCCAAGAUGUCACAGAAGAAUUACUGAGACUCACCCAUCUCUCUAACUGACAGAGGUGACCCUGAGCAGAUCAAAAGUGACUACAGGGCUCUGGGUAAAAGGGUAAAGGAGAUAAGGGCUUAGUUGGUGUUCUCCUUCAUCUUUCCAGUCAAGAAAAAGGGCCUGGGUAGGAGCGGACACAUCCUAUAGAUCCAUGCAUGGCUGCACAGGAUUGAUUUUGAUUCAGGACCAAGUGAAUUUUAGCACCUCAGAAUCUUAGAAGUGUGGCUGGAUGUUUGAGGAACAAACCGAGAUGGAGCAUUCCUCAGAGUAGGGAGCAAGCUGGGAAAGACCCAGGCACAGCUGCCUACACAUGUGCUUGGGGGCGGGAGUGUUUUAAUUAAGGCAGUUACCAGGGCAGUUAUUAUCUAAUCAAAAUGAUGCAGCAUCACAUGUAUUAAGCCCCUGUGUUUGAAAAUGGCCAUAGGACGCUUUUGCUAUAGCUCAUUAGAUGAGCUUUCGUUAAAGCACCCCAGUGACCAUUUUUAAACUCUCAGGGGCUUAUAUAUGUGACGCUGAAGUGUUCUUAUUAGAAAGCGGAGCAGACUCAAAUAAUUGAUUCAUCAAGUCUGCUUCAACAUGUUCUAAUUAGAAUGUGUUGGAGCAUGUAUGUAGGCACCCAUAGAGUCCAUUACAGUAAAGUCUAUGAGAGGGCAUUAAAAAAACAGUUCUCAGAACUUGCAUUUCAAACUGGCCCAAGGUGGUAGAGGAACGUGAAGAAGCACCUGGAAGUAAAGUAGUAAGGAGAGAGAAUGUGAGCUUUACUGGCUGCACUCAGAAACAAGACAAAGAAGCCCAAAAUGUUGUGAGAAUCUUGCCUUGUGGACAAAGCUGCAAGACAUUUGCUAAAUUAAUUAUCUGUUAGUAGAAGGAAGAGGGAAGGCAUACAGUCCAGGGAGCCUUUACAGCAGGUAUACAGUCUUUUCUUGUUACAAGUUCCAAAGGAUUCUAAUGAACAUUGCUGCUGUUAGAGUUGGAAAAGGGCACAUAUAUGAGGGCAUAAGAUUCCACUGCAUUCCCCCAGAAUGGAUGAGUUCCCAUUCUUUUCCCAGGCUCCCACCUCUGCCUCUCCAGCACAAGCAGCUGCAGACCCUUAAAAAGUGAAAGAGAACAGGGAAUAAGGAUACCUUGAGCAACAUAACAAUGAUUGGGAUCUUCAGAGGACUCAACUUCACUGCCAUGCCAAUUGAAUGAACAGUCAAGUUCUCCAGUUGUCCACUUGUGUUUUUGUCCCCACCACGUGACAUGCGCACCAAUCAUGGAGGCAGAGAUUAUUAAAAACUAGGGGUGCACCGACAAAGAUUUUUUGGGCUAAUUCUGAUGGCCGGCUGUUGACCAGCUAUCUCGACCGAUACCAAUCUGAUUGCCGAUAUGCAGCCCAGCAGCUUGGAGAGAAGCAUCCGGUUGAGUUCAAUGUCAGUCAUACAAGAGGAGUUGGCGAUGGAUUGACAAAACACAACUCUGCAUGAACAGAAUGAGGGCAUGCAUCAGAUUGGAUUGAGGAGGCUGUUCCAGUCCUAGUGAGGCAUGAUAAUAAAAGGUCACAACCUCGCUUCACCAACACAUGUUGAAGUUCUGGUGGUGAUGUCAUCUUGAACUGGAAAGCUGCUUCCUCCCCAUGCUGCUUCUUUUGUUCUUUGAUGUCGUUGAUAGUUCUCUGAUUGCUGCCUGCUUGGAGACAUAAACUAGAAGAGCUAUGAUUCAUGAUGUCAAGUUGAGGAAGCCCUUGAGUGAACAGAAAAGAGGCGCUAAGACGGUAUGACAUGUUUGCUCCCUGAAGGUGACCAAAUGGUGAACUUGUCAACUACUUACUGCAUAUGCAGGCACCAUUAAAAUGGACAGCGGAUCACAAAUGAAGAGCAGUGACAACAUUUUUGGCCAAAGUCUCCAAAGUCACAUUUUAUUUUUACAGAAAAGAACGGUGGAAUCGGAAGGAUAAACAAGACGAAACAGUCUGCAACAUUUGAAAAAUCCAUCCACAAAGAACAGUACAGUACUCAAUUUAUCACCCUCAAAAUGGAGAACACUGCUGGUAUUUCAACCUGUGGUCAGAUUAUUAUUACCCUGAGGCUUAAACCACAAAGCCAUUAGCAUGUUUUGGUUUGCCCUACAGUUACUUAAUAUGUGCCACUGACCAAGUAGACUGCUGUUACCUUGCAAGCAAGGAGAAUUAACAUAAUAAGGCAGAUUUAGGCCUUAUAUUAAGCAAGCAAUAGACACAGGCUUCCCCUUUGUAUGCACACCAAUUCAAGUCCAGACCAUUAAUAUUAAAGAACAUUCUUACCAGUUAGUCUUUGUAAGAAGCCACCCUGUCCUAUUGUACUAAAUUAGAUGCUUAGGAAAGGAAAAGGAAAAUUACACAAGGCAUCUGAAUACUUUCAUAAUCACUACAGAGAAAAAAUAUAGUCACUUGUCACCUGAGACUGAAAAUUAAUGCAUAAGAAAGCAAAAACAAGACAAAACAAAUACUACCCCCCCAAAAAAAACCUGAACUGAAAUGACAGCACUUCCUUCUGAAAAAUGAUCUCUCUGUAAUGAACUGUGAAAUAUUACUGCUGACACUUCUGAUUGAAGUCAUUUGUAAAAAUGCCUGGGGUUGUUACACAUUUGAAAGCAAGAAUUUAAAUGUGGCAGAUAACAUUACAUUCGGAAGUUGUAGUAUUGAAUGAAAAAAGCCUUAAGUUAUUUGACCAUUUCAGACCUAAAAUCAACAGCCAUUUAAGUAGUGUAAAUGGAGGAGAAUUGUUCUGCUUUGGCCUAUUGGAAGCGUAUGGAAGUUUAAUAAUUUUGAGAUAAGAAAUAAGAAACUUUUUAGCACACUAAUAACACAGAUAAAAUCUUUUCGAUACCAAAAGAGAAGAGGCUGAGAAGAAAUGUAAUGUGGAUUUGGAACUUGGACCUGAAAAUCUCUAAAAAAUUGUGCCACUGCUAAAUGUCCUCAGAGAACACCUAUGCCACACAUGUUCUGGUGCAUGGCACGUUGCCCCAGGUGGGGUAGGGGAGGCUGGGGCCAGAAACUGUGCCGACCCCAGCAGCCUUACCUGGGGUCAGAGGCAGCACUAGGAAGUAGUUUGGCUAUAGCUACCCCAAAAAUUGCCUUACUCACCCCCCACCCCAUAGCCACCCCUCCCAGCGCCGCUUCUGUACAAACUCCCCACCUUGUCCCCCACAAGCCAACACUACCCACCCUGAGCUGCUGAGCCCACCCUGCUUGCACCCAAAGUCCACAGAGAUGCAGUACCCUAAGUGGGCAUUGUUAAAAAAAAUGAAUAAGUAUGUUUGGCCAGAAGAUGUAUAGCACAGCUCUGCCCCCCACCCCCCCUGCAAUUUUCUGUCUAGUCCACCUAAGCCCUCCUGCCCCCCACUGGGAAGAGGCUGGUGCUGCCCCUGCCUGGGGUCCUGGGAGCCUCCAGGAGCUUCAGCUGUGGCACUUCUGCAGCAGGGAGCCUAGCUAGCAGCCAGAGCGUAGCUCCAGCCAGCCAGACUCCAGUUUUGGGCAGCACACACUGCUCCCACCACCCUGCUCUUUUUAGGCAUGGGGUUUUUUUGACCCCGGGAUCUCCUGGAGUCAAAAAAAACUCCCGCACUGCAAAGUAGACUGCAGACAAGUCUGCAGCACCACAUACUGCAUGUCUGUGCUUAUCUGGAUGCACCCCAGCAUUCCACAUCUUAAUCUGUAGUAGGAUUAUACAACUUCUGGCUGGCUAGGGACCACACACAAUGUGGGUUGCAUGCCAUGAAGACUGUACACUGUGCAUGCUCCCCUCAUAUAUGAGCUCUGCCAGCCCAGCUCUACCUACCAUAUGCCUCUCCUGGCUCACAGGCCCCUCAGAUUGCCCAUCACAUAGGCUGCUUGUACAGGCUGAACAGACUCUCUGCCCCCUUCCCAAUUCUGCAGGGCCUGCAUGGACUCCCCAGGCCUCUGUGGGCUGCACUACCCUGCCAGCAGGGGCAGGAUGUGAAAUCUAAAGGAGGGAGGGUGAGCCCAGAGACCCCAGGAGCAGAAGCUGUUGUUGUGGUGGGGAGGACACCUUUCAGGCCACAUGCAGUCUGUGGGACAUGAGUUGAAUGACCCUGGUCACAAGGAAUCCUUUGCUCAGAUGAAUAUCUUUGAUUUCAGUGGGCACAUCUACACCUGCACUUUACUUCAGAGCUAAUUAGCUCCACAAUAAAGUGUCACCAUCUACACAUGUACCCAUAUUAGGGCACAAUAAAUUAAUUAACUCCACUGUAGAACAGUACUUAGUGUCUGGGGCAGGUGCAAACCUACAACAGAGUAGUAAUGUGCUCCAAAUUGCAUACACAGAUGGUGACUGGGGCUGACUAGGGCACUGGGGUGCUACAUUGCAGGGGCUGCCUGCCAUCGAGCCAUGUACUGUAGCACCCUUGUGCCACAGCCAACCCCUCCACAGAACACUGAGCCUAGUUGGAGCAGCUCCAGGCUAACAGGCUGACCCUUUAGGCCGCUGGCUCAACAUGCUGCGAUUCUGAAAGCACAUAUAAAUGCUGCACCUGGUAGCAAUAAAUUCUGGCACGAUAUGUGCCAGAGUUUAUUGCUACAUGCUAAUUGCACAUGUAGAUGCACCCAUUAAGACUAGUUGUGUGAGCAUCCGCAUGGAUGGAUUGCACUAUCUUACCCAAAUGUUCUAUUGCAUAUAAAGAGAUCCAGUGUAGACCAGAUGACAUGAUACUACUUGAAACAGACCUGCUCAACAGUUCAGAUUACAGGUGUAUUGAAAGAUAAAGAGGUCAUAAGGAACUCCUUUUCCCCUACUGUGCAGCAGACAGCCCUAAUUUGGUUGCAAGGCAAUGGAGAAUACAAAAACAGGACAAUCAGAAUUCUCUCAGCCCUAAGAAGUACCUAUGAUCUGAAGCUAUGUGCCAUAACCAAUGCUGUAGAAAAGUGCUGUAUCCAAUGUAUGUUAUACUUGAGCAAUGAACAUACUGACUGGUGCAUGCUUCCUCCUAGCAUCUGCUCUUGAUUUCCAUAGCCAUAAGGCCAGAUCCUAUUCCUUCUAUUAGCUGUCAAAGGGAAUAUCACCACGUAAGUGUAAUCCUGGUCCACCAUGCUCACAUCUC